CAACCUUCCUAAUGCCGAGACCCUUUAAUACAGUUUCUUAUGUUGUGGUGACCCCCAACCAUAAAAUUAUUUUCGUUGCUACUUCAUAACUGUAAUUUUGCUACUGUUAUGAAUUGUAAUGUAAAUAUCUGAUAUGCAGGGUGUCUUAGACGACCCCUGUGAAAGGUCAUUCGACCCCCAAAGGGGUUAUGGCCCACAGGUUGAGAACUGCUGCUCUAGAGGGAGAUGUUUCCAGAAGGUAAGGUU
Pipistrellus kuhlii (Kuhl's pipistrelle) is the source of this 246-nucleotide long non-coding RNA. RefSeq lists it as uncharacterized. Lineage: Eukaryota; Metazoa; Chordata; Mammalia; Chiroptera; Vespertilionidae. The transcript has 3 exons. The record is from RefSeq and is a predicted model, not a curated record.